UACGUAGGGUGCAGGCGUUAAUCGGAAUUACUGGGCGUAAAGCGUGCGCAGGCGGCUUCCCAAGUCAGAUGUGGAAUCCCCGGGCUUAACCUGGGAACUGCGUUUGAAACUGGGGGGCUAGAGUGCGGCAGAGGGGGGUGGAAUUCCACGUGUAGCAGUGAAAUGCGUAGAUAUGUGGAGGAACACCGAUGGCGAAGGCAGCCCCCUGGGCCUGCACUGACGCUCAUGCACGAAAGCGUGGGGAGCAAACAGG
Molecule: ribosomal RNA, 253 nt
Filed under: uncultured bacterium
Lineage: Bacteria
Description: partial 16S ribosomal RNA
Rfam family: Bacterial small subunit ribosomal RNA
Source: RNAcentral